GACGAACGCUGGCGGCGUGCUUAACACAUGCAAGUGGAGCGACGAACCAGGCUUCGGCCUGGGGCAGAGCCGCGAACGGGUGAGUAACACGUGGGUAACCUGCCCCGAUGACCGGGACAACCCGAGGAAACUCGGGGCUAAUACCGGAUAGGUCCGCCCCGCAUAGGCGGGACGGGCAAAGGUAGCUUCGGCCUCCGCAUCGGGAUGGGCCCGCGGCCCAUUAGCUUGUUGGUGAGGUAACGGCUCACCAAGGCCGCGAUGGGUAGCUGGUCUGAGAGGACGAUCAGCCACACUGGGACUGAGACACGGCCCAGACUCCUACGGGAGGCAGCAGUGGGGAAUCUUGCGCAAUGCGCGAAAGCGUGACGCAGCAACGCCGCGUGGGGAAGAC
This 391-nucleotide ribosomal RNA is filed under the name uncultured bacterium. Its description in RNAcentral is "bacterial SSU rRNA". It matches the Rfam family "Bacterial small subunit ribosomal RNA", at positions 28 to 412 of the family's 1533-position model. The record is from RNAcentral.